Molecule: long non-coding RNA, 240 nt
Organism: Bufo bufo (common toad)
Lineage: Eukaryota; Metazoa; Chordata; Amphibia; Anura; Bufonidae
Exons: 3
Source: RefSeq, a predicted model, not a curated record
CAGGACGGUCCGUGGUGAAGGAUUAUCGGAGGAGGAGGAGGACACGCCCCCCGGUUCCUACAAUAUAGGAUCCACUCAGUGGAGAUCUUCUGUAUAAGAUCCUUCUCCUGAUUGACCCGACAAGAAUGGACAGGGACAAGAUGGCGGAGAGUAUGAUAAAUCUCACCCUAGAGAUCCUCUUCCGGCUUACUGGAGAGGACUACACAGUAGUGAAGAAGACCUCUAGUGAGCGCUGUCAGG